Phasianus colchicus (ring-necked pheasant) is the source of this 367-nucleotide non-coding RNA. Lineage: Eukaryota; Metazoa; Chordata; Aves; Galliformes; Phasianidae. The record is from RefSeq and is a predicted model, not a curated record.
CGGCGGGGGCGGAGAGCGGCGGGAGCCCGGCCCGGCCCCCGCCGUGACAGGAGGGCACCCGCGGCGCGACAGCGGGCGGCUCCGCGGCGGCAUUUCUGCGGCAGCGUUUCUGCGGCGCCUCUCCGCCCGCGUGCCACGGCACAGAAAACGCGAAUCCGUCGCGGUGCCGUGACGAGCGGCAGAUGGUCGGGGCCUCCCUUCCAGUCCCGCGCACAGCCCUUGCACUCAAUUAAUUUCAAGGCUUCUUGGCAGCGAGACGACCGAUUACUUACAUCGAAGAUUUGGAUACUUCACCGUGGGAAAUUCUGGAUCAGGAUCCUUCUGCUCCGGAACAGCAAAAGGAGGUCUAAGAUCAAAUGCCUUGAAG